UGCAUUAAUGGAAAUAAAAUGAAAUAAUCAACAAGCAUUGACCAAAGAUAUAUGAGAUCAAGGUCAAACAAUAGUAAACAGAAGUAAGAUGGAAAUUAGAAGUCAAGAAACAAAUAAAAUAUUUUUGGUAUUUUUCAAAAUUAAAAUAAUACUUGAAUUAAAAUAAUAAAGAAAGGUCAAACUUCAAAUUCACUUCAAAUCAACUAUGAAAAGUCCAAGUGAAUUAUCCCAAGUUCAACAAGGUCAAACAAAGUUUGACAAAAAAUUUCAGCAUUUUUAGAAGUCAG
RNAcentral lists this long non-coding RNA (287 nucleotides) under Lathyrus oleraceus (garden pea). Its description in RNAcentral is "Pisum sativum (pea) long non-coding RNA (PSAT_LNC022113)". Lineage: Eukaryota; Viridiplantae; Streptophyta; Magnoliopsida; Fabales; Fabaceae. The record is from RNAcentral.